This 465-nucleotide ribosomal RNA is filed under the name uncultured bacterium. RNAcentral's name for it is "bacterial SSU rRNA". It matches the Rfam family "Bacterial small subunit ribosomal RNA", at positions 338 to 795 of the family's 1533-position model. The record is from RNAcentral.
CCUACGGGAUGCACCAGUGGGGAAUAUUGCACAAUGGGCGCAAGCCUGAUGCAGCCAUGCCGCGUGUAUGAAGAAGGCCUUCGGGUUGUAAAGUACUUUCAGCGAGGAGGAAGGCAUUAAGGUUAAUAACCUUGGUGAUUGACGUUACUCGCAGAAGAAGCACCGGCUAACUCCGUGCCAGCAGCCGCGGUAAUACGGAGGGUGCAAGCGUUAAUCGGAAUUACUGGGCGUAAAGCGCACGCAGGCGGUUUGUUAAGUCGGAUGUGAAAUCCCCGGGCUCAACCUGGGAACUGCAUUCGAAACUGGCAAGCUUGAGUCUUGUAGAGGGGGGUAGAAUUCCAGGUGUAGCGGUGAAAUGCGUAGAGAUCUGGAGGAAUACCGGUGGCGAAGGCGGCCCCCUGGACAAAGACUGACGCUCAGGUGCGAAAGCGUGGGGAGCAAACAGGAUUAGAUACCCUCGUAGUC